RNAcentral lists this long non-coding RNA (1519 nucleotides) under Sorghum bicolor (sorghum). RNAcentral describes it as "long non-coding RNA (SBIC_LNC015075)". The record is from RNAcentral. Lineage: Eukaryota; Viridiplantae; Streptophyta; Magnoliopsida; Poales; Poaceae.
AUGCAUUAAACAUUAAAUAUAGACGAAAACAAAAACGAAUUACACAGUUUAGCUGUAAAUCACGAGACGAAUCUUUUGAUUCUAGUUAGUCCAUUAUUGAAUAAUAUUUGUUACAAACAAACGAAAAUGCUACAGUACCGAAAACUUUUCAGUUUUCGGAACUAAACAAGGCCGAAAUAAAAGAAUAAAGUAGAGAAUUAUUUCAUUUCAAGAACUCCACCUAUUGUGACAUAAUUAAUGUCCCUUUCGUUUCAAAUAUAAUAAUUCGUAUUAGGACUCAACGGAGCCCAAAAUUCAUAAAAAUGAUAAAUAGUUAUUCAUAUUAACUAUGGAUACUUAAUCGUUGAAAUUUAUAUCAUCAAUAGAUUUACAUUAUUUCACACAUCAUUUAAUUAAAACCAAUCUUUUAGCAUUUGAUGACAUAUUAUAAAAGUAAUUGAUAGUCAAAAUGCAUUUCCAAAGACUUCGUUCUCCGCCUGAUGAUACUAAUAUGCUUUGUAAAAUUAAAUGGAAGGAAUACCUACUACAAAACUACAACUAACUAUUUCGAAAUUUACAACAAGACUAGGACUAUUACAUUUGAGCACAUGGUACCAUAGAACUACAAAUUUUCUCACAGCUGCCUUAGUGCCAAGAUACUUGUUGUUCUAUGAUGAGAAAACAGAAAAUUAUAGUUUUGUGACGGUACCAAGCAUCAAAAUAUAUAGUUGUAGCGAUCUGUGGGUUAUAUCAAAAAAAUGUAGUCGUAGCUAGUUCUGUGAAAUCUAUACUCAGUUUUGCAUUGUCUCAUGGCAUAUAUAUAACACAUGUACAUAAUUUUAAUAUAGGCCAAUAUGUACAAGCAAUACAAAUAAUCAACAAUAGGAUGUCUCCACUUACCAACCCUACCACCACCACUUUUCACAAAAAGAAAAAAAAAACUACCAACACCACAACGCGAGAGGGAGAGCCCUGACCCAACAAGCCUAGUGCACGAUGAUUUAGGCCUUGUUUAGAUGUGAAAAAAUUUUAGAUUUAGUUACUGUAGCACUUUCGUUUGUUUGUGACAAAUAUUAUCCAAUUAUAGACUAACUAGGAUCAAAAGAUUCAUCUCGUGAUUUACAGGUAAGCUGUGCAAUUAGUUUUUAUUUUUGUCUAUAUUUAAUGCUUUAUGCAUGUGCCGAAAGAUUCGAUGUGACGGAGAAUCUUGAAAACUUUUUGGUUUUCGGGGUGAACUAAACAAUGCCUUAGUCUAACAACCACACUAGCUAUACACAAUAUACAUCCUAACUAACAAUGUUUAAUAUAUAUGCUCAUUGUACAAUGCCAGUGCUACUCGAGCACAUUAUUCUGUGCGACAAAUUAAUAAUGGGCCGGGAGGGCACACACAGAUCAUGACCAAUCAGACGGCCGAGACUUUUGCAAGCAAGGAAAUGGAAAUAUAGUUUGGUGAUGCAGGAAGUGGAUCGAAUAAUUAUUUUUCGCUGGGGCAAAUCAACCAAGAAUCUAGCUAGUGGAGUAGCUCGAUCAGUUUGCGGCC